CAUAAAACACAUCAUAUCCCAGUUUAACUACAUUAAACAUUUGAGAAAUUAUAUCAACUUGAAAAAUAACAAGUGCAAGAUAAUUUGUCAGAAGGCGGAGCUUAACACAGAAACACAUUAGUUCAGUGAUCAGCAUCACAUACAGCAUCACUCAGGCAAGCAGCAUCUACCAUCAUGUUCACUUGUGUCCUGAUAUUGCUGACUUUAACAGAAGGUAACAGAGCUAAAGAGGUCAUCACUCCAUACAGUGAUGCAGCAUUUGCCACUGAGACCGAGAGUGUGAAACUCUCUUGUAACUACAGCGGUUCUGUUGAUAGUCUUCACUGGUAUCGACAAUAUGCAGGUUCACCACCACAGUUCCUCAUACUGGAAUCCUAUGGAACAGUUACUCCCGCUAAUCCUCCAGUUCCUGGAAUAUCCAUCAGUCACAGAAAAGAGGACAAACGUGUGUAUCUGAUCAUCUCCUCUGCUGCAGUAUCAGACUCUGCUCUGUAUUACUGUGCUCUGAGGCCCACAGUCACAGGAAACACAAGAACACUGUACAAAAAUACUGUACUGAUGUUAGUCUUACAGUCAGAUGUUGUCAAAAACAACACAUCUCCAUACAGGUAA
Megalobrama amblycephala (Wuchang bream) is the source of this 612-nucleotide non-coding RNA. Lineage: Eukaryota; Metazoa; Chordata; Actinopteri; Cypriniformes; Xenocyprididae. The record is from the annotation of a RefSeq genome assembly.